This 2941-nucleotide ribosomal RNA is filed under the name Pectobacterium carotovorum. Its description in RNAcentral is "23S ribosomal RNA". It matches the Rfam family "Bacterial large subunit ribosomal RNA". The record is from RNAcentral. Lineage: Bacteria; Pseudomonadati; Pseudomonadota; Gammaproteobacteria; Enterobacterales; Pectobacteriaceae.
GGGUUGUGAGGUUAAGCGACUAAGCGUACACGGUGGAUGCCUAGGCAGUCAGAGGCGAUGAAGGGCGUGCUAAUCUGCGAUAAGCGUCGGUAAGCUGAUAUGAAGCGUUAUACCCGACGAUACCCGAAUGGGGAAACCCAGUGUGUUUCGACACACUAUCAUGACAUGAAUACAUAGUGUCAUGAGGCGAACCGGGGGAACUGAAACAUCUCAGUACCCCGAGGAAAAGAAAUCAACCGAGAUUCCCCCAGUAGCGGCGAGCGAACGGGGAGGAGCCCAGAACCUGAAUCAGUUUGUGUGUUAGUGGAAGCGUCUGGAAAGUCGCACAGUAAAGGGUGAUAGUCCCGUACACAAAAAUGCACAGAUUGUGAGUUCGAUGAGUAGGGCGGGACACGUGACAUCCUGUCUGAAUAUGGGGGGACCAUCCUCCAAGGCUAAAUACUCCUGACUGACCGAUAGUGAACCAGUACCGUGAGGGAAAGGCGAAAAGAACCCCGGCGAGGGGAGUGAAAUAGAACCUGAAACCGUGUACGUACAAGCAGUGGGAGCCUACUUGUUAGGUGACUGCGUACCUUUUUGUAUAAUGGGUCAGCGACUUAUAUUCUGUAGCAAGGUUAACCGUAUAGGGGGAGCCGCAGGGAAACCGAGUCUUAACUGGGCGUUAAGUUGCAGGGUAUAGACCCGAAACCCGGUGAUCUAGCCAUGGGCAGGUUGAAGGUUGGGUAACACUAACUGGAGGACCGAACCGACUAAUGUUGAAAAAUUAGCGGAUGACUUGUGGCUGGGGGUGAAAGGCCAAUCAAACCGGGAGAUAGCUGGUUCUCCCCGAAAGCUAUUUAGGUAGCGCCUCGUGAAUUCAUCUUCGGGGGUAGAGCACUGUUUCGGCUAGGGGGUCAUCCCGACUUACCAACCCGAUGCAAACUACGAAUACCGAAGAAUGUUAUCACGGGAGACACACGGCGGGUGCUAACGUUCGUCGUGAAGAGGGAAACAACCCAGACCGCCAGCUAAGGUCCCAAAGUCAUGGUUAAGUGGGAAACGAUGUGGGAAGGCAUAGACAGCCAGGAUGUUGGCUUAGAAGCAGCCAUCAUUUAAAGAAAGCGUAAUAGCUCACUGGUCGAGUCGGCCUGCGCGGAAGAUGUAACGGGGCUAAACCAUGCACCGAAGCUGCGGCAGCGACACUUAGGUGUUGUUGGGUAGGGGAGCGUUCUGUAAGCCGUCGAAGGUGGCCUGUGAGGGCUGCUGGAGGUAUCAGAAGUGCGAAUGCUGACAUAAGUAACGAUAAUGCGGGUGAAAAACCCGCACGCCGGAAGACCAAGGGUUCCUGUCCAACGUUAAUCGGGGGCAGGGUGAGUCGACCCCUAAGGCGAGGCUGAAAAGCGUAGUCGAUGGGAAACAGGUUAAUAUUCCUGUACUCGGUGUUACUGCGAAGGGGGGGACGGAGAAAGCUAGGUUAUCCGGGCGACGGUUGUCCCGGUUUAAGCGUGAAGGUGGAUGACUUUGGUAAAUCCGGGUCGUCAUUAACACUGAGGCGUGAUGACGAGUCACUACGGUGAUGAAGUAACCGAUGCUACGCUUCCAGGAAAAGCCUCUAAGCUCCAGGUAACAUCAAAUCGUACCCCAAACCGACACAGGUGGUCAGGUAGAGAAUACUCAGGCGCUUGAGAGAACUCGGGUGAAGGAACUAGGCAAAAUGGUGCCGUAACUUCGGGAGAAGGCACGCUGAUGGUAGGUGAAGUGACUUGCUCAUGGAGCUGAAAUCAGUCGAAGAUACCAGCUGGCUGCAACUGUUUAAUAAAAAACACAGCACUGUGCAAACACGAAAGUGGACGUAUACGGUGUGACGCCUGCCCGGUGCCGGAAGGUUAAUUGAUGGGGUCAGCCGCAAGGCGAAGCUCUUGAUCGAAGCCCCGGUAAACGGCGGCCGUAACUAUAACGGUCCUAAGGUAGCGAAAUUCCUUGUCGGGUAAGUUCCGACCUGCACGAAUGGCGUAAUGAUGGCCAGGCUGUCUCCACCCGAGACUCAGUGAAAUUGAACUCGCUGUGAAGAUGCAGUGUACCCGCGGCAAGACGGAAAGACCCCGUGAACCUUUACUAUAGCUUGACACUGAACCUUGAGCCUUGAUGUGUAGGAUAGGUGGGAGGCUUUGAAGCGUGGACGCCAGUCUGCGUGGAGCCAACCUUGAAAUACCACCCUUUAAUGUUUGAUGUUCUAACGUGGACCCGUAAUCCGGGUUGCGGACAGUGUCUGGUGGGUAGUUUGACUGGGGCGGUCUCCUCCCAAAGCGUAACGGAGGAGCACGAAGGUUAGCUAAUCCUGGUCGGACAUCAGGAGGUUAGUGCAAAGGCAUAAGCUAGCUUGACUGCGAGAGUGACAGCUCGAGCAGGUGCGAAAGCAGGUCUUAGUGAUCCGGUGGUUCUGAAUGGAAGGGCCAUCGCUCAACGGAUAAAAAGGUACUCCGGGGAUAACAGGCUGAUACCGCCCAAGAGUUCAUAUCGACGGCGGUGUUUGGCACCUCGAUGUCGGCUCAUCACAUCCUGGGGCUGAAGUAGGUCCCAAGGGUAUGGCUGUUCGCCAUUUAAAGUGGUACGCGAGCUGGGUUUAGAACGUCGUGAGACAGUUCGGUCCCCUAUCUGCCGUGGGCGUUGGAAGAUUGAGAGGGGUUGCUCCUAGUACGAGAGGACCGGAGUGAACGCACCACUGGUGUACGGGUUGUGAUGCCAAUUGCAUUGCCCGGUAGCUAAGUGCGGAAGAGAUAACCGCUGAAAGCAUCUAAGCGGGAAACUUGCCUCGAGAUGAGUCUUCCCUGGGCACUUGAUGCCCCUGAAGGGCCGUUGAAGACGACGACGUAGAUAGGCUGGGUGUGUAAGCGUAGCGAUACGUUGAGCUAACCAGUACUAAUGACCCGAGAGGCUUAACCUUACAACACCGAAGGUGUUU